This 428-nucleotide ribosomal RNA is filed under the name uncultured bacterium. RNAcentral describes it as "partial 16S ribosomal RNA". It matches the Rfam family "Bacterial small subunit ribosomal RNA", at positions 354 to 796 of the family's 1533-position model. The record is from RNAcentral.
GUGGGGAAUAUUGGGCAAUGGGCGCAAGCCUGACCCAGCAACGCCGCGUGAAGGAAGAAGGCUUUCGGGUUGUAAACUUCUUUUAUCAGGGACGAAACAAAUGACGGUACCUGGUGAAUAAGCCACGGCUAACUACGUGCCAGCAGCAGCGGUAAUACGUAGGUGGCGAGCGUUAUCCGGAUUGAGUGGGAGGAAAGGGCGGGUAGGCGGGACAGCAAGUCAGAUGUGAAAGCCAGAGGCUCAACCUCUGGCCUGCAUUUGAAACUGUUGUUCUUGAGUGUCGGAGAGGUAAUCGGAAUUCCGUGUGUAGCGGUGAAAUGCGUAGAUAUACGGAGGAACACCAGUGGCGAAGGCGGAUUACUGGACGAUAACUGACUCUGAGGCGCGAAAGCGUGGGGAGCAAACAGGAUUAGAAACCCGGGUAGUCC